CAGUAGCCGCGGGAAUACGUAGGGUGCGAGCGUUGAUCGGAAUUACUGGGCGUAAAGCGUGCGCAGGCGGUUAUAUAAGACAGAUGUGAAAUCCCCGGGCUCAACCUGGGACCUGCAUUUGUGACUGUAUAGCUAGAGUACGGUAGAGGGGGAUGGAAUUCCGCGUGUAGCAGUGAAACGCGUAGAUAUGCGGAGGAACACCGAUGGCGAAGGCAAUCCCCUGGACCUGUACUGACGCUCAUGCACGAAAGCGUGGGGAGCAAACAGGAUUAGAUACCCGUGUAGUCCCUGUCUCUUAUAC
Molecule: ribosomal RNA, 301 nt
Filed under: uncultured bacterium
Lineage: Bacteria
Description: partial 16S ribosomal RNA
Rfam family: Bacterial small subunit ribosomal RNA
Source: RNAcentral